GCUGCCGAACCCAGCCGCGCCAACCUAGGUUGUUUCUCACUACUGCUGCCUACACUGAAUCCUACCGCGUCGCUGCAGCUGUGGCUGUGAGGACACCCGUGCCCUUUGUACUGCCAUGCCCUCGGUGUCACACGAGGCCAGCCAACACUGCCUGAAACACCUUGGCACAGAUUCCCCGUGUAUGGUGUGAUUCGCACUGGUUUUACUGUACAAAGUGUUCUGCUCUCACGUGAGCAUAAUGAUUUAAUUGCAGAAAGACAUUUCCCACAGUUAUCCCUUCUAUAUAAACAUUAUAGUAGUAUAAUCUUUAGGUUGAAUUGUUAUGAGUAUUUGGAUUUUAAAAUUGCCGUGGCUGAUUUGAAUUUCAUAGAAAAUCAAUCAGUGAAUUUUGGUUUGAGAUUAGGACUAAAUUUUCCAGUAAAUGUCUCCCUAGAUUUUCCUAUUCUAUGUAUAUAUAUAAUAUAUAUAUAUAUAUAUAUAUAUAUAUAUAUAUAUAUAUAUAUAUAUUAAAUUAUGACAUUAUUUUCUGUGUAUAUGCUAACCAACUCCAUCUCUCCAGACCAACACUGAGCUAUCUUGCCAGCUCAUAUGGUACAUAUUUAUCUGAAGCAGCAUCCUCAAUAUUGACAACUAUAAAUCAACUCUAUGUAUUGUAGUAACUAUUUAAGCGAUUUUUUUUUAGACUGACAGCACAGUUCACACGGGUAUCUCAUUUAUAGGACUAAACUAUGUGUCCAUCCUAAAAGAAUGUCUAUUGAAAAUGGGUAUAGACACAAUGUAAUUUUUUUUCAGUCACAAAUAAUGGGGUUUGUCAUUCACAAAAUGGAUGCAACUUAAUUAAGCAAAUUAACUCGGUCUCAGAUAAAUAUUGUAUAUUUUCCCUCAUUUUCUAUCCUAGUGUCACUGAGCAGCAUCAACACUUGGUGACGUCACCUUUGUAUGCUGUGCAGUCACGAACAGACCUUCUGAUGCGGUACACACAUCAGAUUAAAAAAAAAACAAAACUUACUAAUGUGUGAGGCAGAUGAAGAUCUUAUGUGCUGUUUCUCCUUGUCUUCUGAAUUAGUAUAGCAGUAAUCCUGCUGAGUGCUUGACUUUCAGUUAUUGAGUAAUGAUUUAUGUGCAACAUUUAUGCAAUAUGUAUCCAUUGGAUGGGUUAUGUAAUUAGCCUUAUCAUUCCUGAACUGAAAGUGACAUUAAAUUAGGAGGAAGCGUGCUCUGAAUGUCUACCAAUUCCUCAGUGUACAGAUGGUCAGAGAAUACCAAGAACACAAGAAGAAAUUGGGAGGACAAAAAGUUACAACUGAUAGCCAGUAUGGUGUACAUGACUGUUGUUCUGUUGUUCAAGCACCAGAUGGCCACUUUGGGGCUAGCCUGGGCUACCUACAUGUACUCUAUCUU
RNAcentral lists this long non-coding RNA (1401 nucleotides) under Mus musculus (house mouse). RNAcentral describes it as "long non-coding RNA chr9:50660528-50661929". The record is from RNAcentral. Lineage: Eukaryota; Metazoa; Chordata; Mammalia; Rodentia; Muridae.